GAUGAACGCUGGCGGCGUGCCUAAUACAUGCAAGUCGAGCGAACAGACGAGGAGCUUGCUCCUCUGACGUUAGCGGCGGACGGGUGAGUAACACGUGGAUAACCUACCUAUAAGACUGGGAUAACUUCGGGAAACCGGAGCUAAUACCGGAUAAUAUAUUGAACCGCAUGGUUCAAUAGUGAAAGACGGUUUUGCUGUCACUUAUAGAUGUAUCCGCGCCGCAUUAGCUAGUUGGUAAGGUAACGGCUUACCAAGGCAACGAUGCGUAGCCGACCUGAGAGGGUGAUCGGCCACACUGGAACUGAGACACGGUCCAGACUCCGAAGGGAGGCAGCAGUAGGGAAGCUUCCGCAAGGGGCGAAAGCCUGACGGAGCAACGACGCGUGAGUGAGGAAGGUCUUCGGAUCGUAAAACUCUGUUAUUAGGGAAGAACAAAUGUGUAAGUAACUAUGCACGUCUUGACGGUACCUAAUCAGAAAGCCACGGCUAACUACGUG
RNAcentral lists this ribosomal RNA (497 nucleotides) under uncultured bacterium. RNAcentral describes it as "partial 16S ribosomal RNA". It matches the Rfam family "Bacterial small subunit ribosomal RNA", at positions 28 to 507 of the family's 1533-position model. The record is from RNAcentral.